RNAcentral lists this small RNA (27 nucleotides) under Bombyx mori (domestic silkworm). RNAcentral's name for it is "ovarian small RNA-11982". The record is from RNAcentral. Lineage: Eukaryota; Metazoa; Arthropoda; Insecta; Lepidoptera; Bombycidae.
AGCAAAACUAAAUCUUAUGGGCUUAUG